AGGAUGGUAGUUAAUUAUAACAUUUGGGUUGCAUUCAAAAAGUAUUGAUACUUCAAUUCAUCUUA
This 65-nucleotide transfer RNA is filed under the name Tryonicus mackerrasae. Its description in RNAcentral is "tRNA-Ala". Lineage: Eukaryota; Metazoa; Arthropoda; Insecta; Blattodea; Tryonicidae. The record is from RNAcentral.